RNAcentral lists this ribosomal RNA (414 nucleotides) under uncultured soil bacterium. RNAcentral describes it as "bacterial SSU rRNA". It matches the Rfam family "Bacterial small subunit ribosomal RNA", at positions 26 to 454 of the family's 1533-position model. The record is from RNAcentral.
AGAUUGAACGCUGGCGGAAUGCUUUACACAUGCAAGUCGAACGGCAGCACGGGGGCAACCCUGGUGGCGAGUGGCGCACGGGUGAGUAAUACAUCGGAACGUAUCCUAGAGUGGGGGAUAGCCCGGCGAAAGCCGGAUUAAUACCGCAUACGCUCGAAAGAGGAAAGUGGGGGAUCGUAAGACCUCACGCCCAAGGAGCGGCCGAUGCCGGAUUAGCUUGUUGGUGAGGUAAAAGCUCACCAAGGCGACGAUCCGUAGCUGGUCUGAGAGGACGACCAGCCACACUGGGACUGAGACACGGCCCAGACUCCUACGGGAGGCAGCAGUGGGAAUUUGGACAAGUGGGGAAACCUGAUCCAGCCAUUCCGCGUGAGUGAAGAGGCUGGUGUAAGCUCGUUCGCGAGAAGAACGGUU